RNAcentral lists this long non-coding RNA (2061 nucleotides) under Pan troglodytes (chimpanzee). RNAcentral's name for it is "long non-coding RNA NONPTRT005814". Lineage: Eukaryota; Metazoa; Chordata; Mammalia; Primates; Hominidae. The record is from RNAcentral.
AGGGAUUCAUCUUCUGAGAGCUGCUGUCCAACCUGCACUCGCGUGGGAACCAGAAGACACUCGUGCAGGAGUCGGCAGAGCAGGCACAAUGGCGCGACGAGUUGCUGCUUCUCAGAUCUCCUGUCCAACCUGUACUUGCGUGGGAACGAGAAGACACUCCUGGAGGAGUCGGAAGAGCGGGCAGACCAAGGAGUUCAUCUUCUCGGAACCGCUGUCCAACCUGUACUCGCGUGGGAAUGAGUAGACACUCUGGAGGAGUUGGCAGAGCGGGCAGACCAAGGAGUUCAUCUUCUCGGAGCUGCUGUCCAACAUGUACUCGCGUGGGAACGAGAAGACACUCCUGUAGGAGUCGACAGAGCAGGCCGACCAAGGAGUUCAUCUUCUCGGAGCUGCUGUCCAACCUGUACUCGCGUGGGAACGAGAAGACACUCGUGGAGUAGUUGGCAGAGCAGGCAGUCCAAGGAGUUCAUCUUCUCGGAGCUGCUGUCCAACCUGUACUCGCGUGGGAACGAGCAGACACUCCUGGAGGAGUCGGCAGAGCAGGCCGACCAAGGAGUUCAUCUUCUCAGAGCUGCUGUCCAACCUGUACUCGCGUGGGAAUGAGAAGACACUCCUGGAGGAGUCGGCAGAGCAGGCACAGUGGCGCGACGAGAUGCUGCUUCUCAGAGCUGCUGUCCAACUUGUACUCGCGUGGGAACGAGAAGACACUCUUGGAGGAGUUGGCAGAGCAGGCAGACCAAGGAGUGCAUCUUCUCAGAGCUGCUGUCCAAUCUGUACUCGCGUGGGAAUGAGAAGACUCUCCUGGAGGAUUCGGCAGAGCAGGCAGACCAAGGAGUUCAUCUUCUCGGAGCUACUGUCCAACAUGUACUCGCAUGGGAAUGAGAAGACACUCCUGGAGGAGUCGGCAGAGCAGGCAGACCAAGGAAUUCAUCUCCUCGGAGCUGCUGUCCCACCUGCACUCGCGUGGGAACCAGAAGACACUCGUGGAGGAGUCGACAGAGCAGGCACACCAAGGAGUUGAUGCUUCUCAGAGCUGCUGUCCAACCUGUACUCGCGUGGGAACGGGAAGACACUCCUGGAGGAGUCGGCAAAGCAGGCAGACCAAGGAAUUCAUCUUCUCGGAGCUGCUGUCCAACCUGCACUCGCGUGGGAACCAGAAGACACUCGUGGAGGAGUCGGCAGAGCAGGCAGACCAAGGAGUUCAUCUUCUCAUCGCUGCUGGCCAACCUGUACUCCCGUGGGAACGAGCAGACCCUCCUGGAGGAGUCGGCAGAGCAGGCAGAACCAGGAAUUCAUCUUCUCGGAGCUGCUGUCCAACGUGUACUCGCGUGGGAACGAGAAGACACUCCUGGAGGAGGCGACAGGGUAGGCAGACCAAGGAGUUCAUUUUCUGGGAGCUGCUGUACAACCUGUACUCGCGUGGGAACGAGAAGACACUCCAGGAGGAGUCGACAGAGCAGGCAGACCAAGGAGUUCAUCUUCUCGGAGCUGCUGUCCAACCUCUACUCGCGUGGGAACGAGCAGACACUCCUGGAGGAGUCGGCAGAGCAGGCAGACCAGGGAGUUCAUCUUCUCGGAGCUGCUGUCCAACCUGUACUCGCGUGGGAACGAGAAGACACUCCUGGAGGAGUCGGCAGAGCAGGCAGACCAAGGAAUUCAUCUUCUCGCAGCUGCUGUCCCACCUGCACUCGCGUGGGAACCAGAAGACACUCGUGGAGGAGUCGACAGAGCAGGCAGACCAAGGAGUUCAUCUUCUCAGAGCUGCUGUCCAACCUGUACUCGCGUGGGAUGGAGCAGACACUCCUGGAGGAGUCGGCAAAGCAGGCAGACCAAGGAAUUCGUCUUCUGAGAGCUGCUGUCCAACCUGCACUCGCGUGGGAACCAGAAGACACUCGUGCAGGAGUCGGCAGAGCAGGCACAGUGGCGCGACGAGAUGCUGCUUCUCAGAGCUGCUGUCCAACCUGUACUCACGUGGGAAUGAGCAGACACUCCUGGAGGAGUCGGCAGAGCAGGCAGACCAAGGAAUUCAUCUUCUCAGAGCUGCUGUCCAACCUGUGCUCG